Molecule: ribosomal RNA, 450 nt
Filed under: uncultured Glomus
Lineage: Eukaryota; Fungi; Glomeromycota; Glomeromycetes; Glomerales; Glomeraceae
Description: SSU rRNA
Rfam family: Eukaryotic small subunit ribosomal RNA
Source: RNAcentral
AGCAGCCGCGGUAAUUCCAGCUCCAAUAGCGUAUAUUAAAGUUGUUGCAGUUAAAAAGCUCGUAGUUGAAUUUCGGGAUCAGUGCGUUGGUCGUGCCUUGGUACGUACUGGCGUCACUGGUUCCUACCUUCUGACGAACCGUCAUGUCAUUAAUUUGGUGUGGCGGGGAAUCAGGACUGUUACUUUGAAAAAUUAGAGUGUUUAAAGCAGGCUCGCGCUUGAAUACAUUAGCAUGGAAUAAUGAAAUGGGACGUUCGAUCCUAUUUUGUUGGUUUCUAGGAUUGACGUAAUGAUUAAUAGGGAUAGUUGGGGGCAUUAGUAUUCAAUUGUCAGAGGUGAAAUUCUUGGAUUUAUUGAAGACUAACUACUGCGAAAGCAUUUGCCAAGGAUGUUUUCAUUAAUCAAGAACGAAAGUUAGGGGAUCGAAGACGAUCAGAUACCGUCGUAGUC